Molecule: non-coding RNA, 81 nt
Organism: Myotis brandtii (Brandt's bat)
Lineage: Eukaryota; Metazoa; Chordata; Mammalia; Chiroptera; Vespertilionidae
Source: Rfam
AGACCCAGAGAGAGAAGCAGGAUCUGAUCCCCAGCCUCAGUGGCAGCUGUUGAUCAGUACUUGCCUCUCUCUUUCUUGCCC